AUAGACCUCUAUAUUUGUAUUUAGUUUUCUGUCCAGACUAAGUGUAGUCUAAAGGUGUUAAUCCUGGUGGAUUAGAGAAAAGGUUUACAAACAGGUUCAAGGAAGCAAAGGUGCUUAAGGAGUGCAUAGGUGCACAAGGAGCAAGAGUGCUCAGGAGAAAUUAAUUGUUAUUAAUUAUUGUAAGAAUCUAUUUUGUAAUCAGUGUUUAUUUAUAAAGAAAGAAAU
Molecule: long non-coding RNA, 225 nt
Filed under: Panax ginseng (ginseng)
Lineage: Eukaryota; Viridiplantae; Streptophyta; Magnoliopsida; Apiales; Araliaceae
Description: long non-coding RNA (PGIN_LNC000371)
Source: RNAcentral